This is a long non-coding RNA of Felis catus (domestic cat), 1270 nucleotides long. RefSeq lists it as uncharacterized. The transcript is spliced from 3 exons. Lineage: Eukaryota; Metazoa; Chordata; Mammalia; Carnivora; Felidae. The record is from RefSeq and is a predicted model, not a curated record.
UCGAUUUUAAGUGUUCUCGCUGCUACGACCGCGCACACACGCGCACACACACAAGGUAACUAUGUAAGGUGAUGGAUAAGUUCAUUGGCUGCAUAGUGGUGAAUUAUUUAACAAGGUAUCGAAAUAUGAAGCUCUGCACCUUACACACAUAGAGGCUUUGUCGAUUACACCCCACUAAAGCUAGAACAACAACAACAGCAGCAACAACAAAAUAACAAAAUAGCACCCCACCCGUGUUCAGUGCCCUUUGCCCUUAAAGCAGAUGCAGAUGUGACCUGAGUCAGUGCAGGGUGGUUUUAAGACACCCUGUCCCCCCGGCCCCUAAGACACCCUGUCCCCCCGGCCCCGUAGCUGUGGGGAAGUCCGAGCACAGAGCAGACAAGGCGAGGGAACUCUGUUAUUUUAAGACUUUGGUCUGCAAGAGCAGAAGAGACAAAGACGGCUGAGACCUCUUGCCGGAGACAGCAAGCCGGUGGCAGCCAUCCAGCCCGGGGUGCGGGGAGAUGUGAGCCACUGUGAUCGUUCUUCAACAUGACCCGUGUCUUCUGAUUUAUGACCAUCAGGGGAGAGGACGCAUUGUUGACCAGAGACAACUUUCUGAAAACUUCUUGACGCUGGAUCCUUAGCAUUUGGCAGAAUUUCUCCCACCCCCGUUCUGAGAAGGUAGCUGGGCUUUUGCGUUUGUCUCCGAGGGUGUUUAUGAUCUAGGACCGAGCACGCACUUUGGACAGGCUACCCCACUCCUUCCUUCUCUGGCGUUUUUGACUUUUGGAUUUCUGGGAAGCCUAAACUCAGUGAGGGGAUACGCUUGACAGGGGAGUUUGACAGAGACCAGGAGGUGCCUACCGAAGCAGAGAGUAUGGGGGAGGUACGCAGAUUCCCCGAGCUUAGGAAAGGUGGCUUUGGGGUCGUGUGUCCGGCCUGUUUCCUGGGGGUGACCCGGUGUGGCGGAAAAUGGCUGCAUAGCGUGCCUAGGAAGGUGCAUUUCAGGUACCAGAAACCCCCCUAGUUCUAUACUUGCACUUGAGAUCAUUCCAGACCCCACAGUUUCCCACCUGGACGAGGCUAGGUGAUGGGACGUGGAUUAGGGGGUCCUCCUCAAGCGUUCUAUCACCGGAAAACCUUCAGGCCAUCCCCCCAACACUGAGGGGGUUUGGGGAAAGGAGAUCCUGUGAUGGCUUAGAUUCAAUUCCCAACCAACCCAAUAGGAGUUUCAUUUCAUUUGACUUUCUUCCAAGAAAAGUUUCAUUUUUUUUUUUUUUUUUUUUUU